UACCUCACUCAGGAUGAAACCCUC
Molecule: non-coding RNA, 24 nt
Filed under: Mus musculus (house mouse)
Lineage: Eukaryota; Metazoa; Chordata; Mammalia; Rodentia; Muridae
Source: RNAcentral